This 131-nucleotide small RNA is filed under the name Escherichia coli. RNAcentral's name for it is "RtT sRNA". It matches the Rfam family "RtT RNA". Rfam says of the family: This family represents a bacterial cis-regulatory element known as RtT RNA. The exact function of RtT is unknown although it is thought that it may be involved in changing the cellular response in relation to amino acid starvation. The record is from RNAcentral. Lineage: Bacteria; Pseudomonadati; Pseudomonadota; Gammaproteobacteria; Enterobacterales; Enterobacteriaceae.
AUUCUGCCCAUGCAGGGAAGGAUGAGAAGCUUCGACCAAGGUUCGACUCGAGGCCAGCGAGAGAGCGUUGCCGCAGGCAACGACCCGUAGGGCGAAGCGCGCAGCGCUGAGUAAUCCUUCCCCCACCACCA